UGAUGACAAACUAAAGUGUGUAAAUUUCCAUCUUAUAGGUUGAAAAGAUAGCAGGAGCUAAAGGAGAAAAGUCUUUGAUCCUCUCUAGAACACUUGUAAAGAUGCUAUCUCCUGGCUAAUCUUUAUGCAGCCCUUUCUUAGUGUUCACCAUUGAAGGAGGCAUGGAAGAGGCUGAAAGUGUUUGGUUUUGGAAACAAGAUGAUCUCAAGAAAUCGACAAAUAAACUUACAGCAAACCAAUUGCCAAGUAAGAUGUGAUUGUCCUGGUACCCUGAAGGAAGCCUCCACAGAGUCCGAAGGGGUCAUGGAAGAAAGACUAGGAAUUUCUUCAAGUGUGAAAAGAGUUCCUUCUCUCAUCUAUGGGAUCAGCUUGUAGAACUGCUUAUAAUCAGCAAACAGGUACCUCUGUAAGCACAACUCAGCAUCCCAGCAGUACAACCAUAGUCUUCUGUGUUAACGUCUCAAAGGUGAAGAAGACCAAGAAAAACCAACGCCACUGUAUCAGGAAAAGGCCACAGCAAGCUGACAGUUUUAAUAGACAUCUGCAAAACCUUGCAGCUACACAGGCUCCAGAAUUCAGAAACGUUGGGAUUCACAAUACUGUACUAUAAAACGCCACAGAGUCCAGGGAGAAC
This is a non-coding RNA of Rattus norvegicus (Norway rat), 634 nucleotides long. The record is from RefSeq and is a predicted model, not a curated record. Lineage: Eukaryota; Metazoa; Chordata; Mammalia; Rodentia; Muridae.